This 21-nucleotide non-coding RNA is filed under the name Arabidopsis thaliana (thale cress). The record is from RNAcentral. Lineage: Eukaryota; Viridiplantae; Streptophyta; Magnoliopsida; Brassicales; Brassicaceae.
UUUGUCCUUCGAUUUGCAGUG